GGCUUCCGCUUCGGUCCCGUGGCUUCUGGAGUCUUCUAGAUGAUAGAAAAUUGCGCGGCACAUUAGUAUCUCUAUGUAAACCCGACGUGUGGGCCUUUCUUUCAUAUUUCCUAAUACCCCCUGCAGAAAUAGACAAACACCAAAACUUGUGGAAUUCUGUCAGAUAAAACCCUAAGUCUGGGUGUUGGUUGCAUUUGGAUCCUUUUCUAUGAUUAGUUGAUGGUUAAUUGUGAGCAUUAAGGACCGUCAACAGGGCCUUUCUUCCAUAUUUCCUGAUAACCCCCUGCAGAAAUAGACAAACACCAAAACUCGUGGAAUUCUGUCAGAUAAAACCCUAAGUCUAGAUCUUAAUUUCAUUUGGAUCCUUUUCUUUGUUUAUUUGAUAAUUAAAUUUGAUACUUAAGGACCGUCAACAAACUCCCCCAAGCUUACCUCUUGCUCGUCCCUGAGCAAGGAUAGACUCAGCUAUGGAUCAUAAGUUGUUGCAAUAUAUAUUUAAAAAUUGACGGUACACAUGCUUUUUAAAUAAGAUCUCAUCUCUAAGCUAGAGUUAACUUGUUAAGACUUAAAACUCACUUACUUUACCUUCACCAUGGGACUUGUAGCUGUCACUUCUGUCUUGAGUGGUUAAAAGAUAGAACAGUCUAGUCAAGUGCCAUGUCUCUUAUUCUUGAUCAGCUAUAGCUCUGGGGUUUUUGCAGAUUUUCAAAUAAAACUCAGACAUUCCUUGUAUGACUCUCUCAUAUCUCUCUUUUGUGGUAUUUCUGGAUCCUUACCAAGGCAGUGAUGGUAUAUGCCUUCUCUCAAGAUAUGUAGUAUUUGUGGUAUAAGGCAUAGUGACAUUGCCUUCUCUCUCACCCUACUCUAAUAAGGCUUUAAUAUUUGGAGCUCAUAGGUGGGAGAUAAAGUAUACAUACUUACAAGACAUAUAUUGUAUAGUGAAAUCAUGGAUCCAAAGAAACAAAUUAAUAAGUCAAAUCAAGAUGUGCAUGUGUGGCGAAUGAAUGGUGUAUGGUGAUGAUGGUGAUAACAAUGGUGGUGGAAGUCUAAUUCUACUUUUGCUCUUUUGAGGGGAUACAUACCUUUCUUGCUUUUGAAAAUUUAUGAGGAGAAUGAGAUGCUCUUCUUUUUCUUUUCCCUCAGGUGGGUAUCUUGCACCCCUAAUUCUAUUGUCGGACAAUUUUUACCUCUCGUCUCACUUUUUCUUUUCUUUCGAGGUUCCGAGCACUUGCUCCUUUUUUUAAUUCCUCGUAUCUCUUUUCUUCUUCUCUUUUUUUUUAUUUUCAGAGCAUUCAUCUCUUGAGAUAAUAUAGCAAGUGGUAGUAACAAGAUAACUUGAGCAUUUAUUUCACAAGGGAAAAUAGAAAUAUUUUUGGUUAUUCUCUCCCGGAUUAGGAGUAGAAUAUUUUUAGGUGGUUCUGGAGAUGGAAUGGAUGGAUAUAUGUGGAUGGUACUUCCGGAGUAGAAGUAGCAUAUAUGAGUGAACGUGCAAGUGAAAUCUUGAUUUAACCACAUGACAAGCUCCUAAGGGUCUACACAGCUUGACCACACUCAAUGCUGAUAAGUAGUAAAUAGUAAAUGUGUGGCUUAAAGUCUAGCAAGCAUGUAUAUAUGGCUGUGGUAGGAAUUUAAAACUCUCAUCAUACAGGAACUCAUCAUGCAACAUUUUAAAGAUUUUCAAAGAUAAAAUUCUCCAGAAUUCUAGCAUCUCUAGGAACAGAUAAACAGCAGCUCAACCUUCCCAUAUCAUAUCCGUUAACAACUUAGACUUCAGAUCAAGUUUUCAUCCCACAAGUUUAGGUCUAGGGCAAGCUUUUAAUUAUAACAGUUAUGUCUAAACUUGAGAGAGAACUUAAAAUGUGCAAAUUAGGCAGAGCAACUAUUCAUCAUAUCCAUGCUUAAGUUUUAAUUAGAUACAGAUUAGCAUAGCCACUUUAUUUAUUUAUUAAACACACUAAGCAAAAGACAAAUAUAUAAGCAUAAAAUCUUUAUUUUGUUUUUCAUAGUUAUGUGUAUUUAUAUUCUAAAAUAAUAUAAGUAUAAAGAUAGAUAGAUAGAAAUACUUAUCGAGAUAAAUGGGGGUGCUCUCCCCCAAGCUGAAUUUUGACGUAAUUUCUCUUGAUGUAGCUAGCAGGUGGCAGAGGUGUAUUUGAAAGUCAGCAGCAUUCUGACAGCGAUUAGAAUGUCCUCCGUCUGCUAGUCUUCUUGAUUCUUAAAUCCUGUGGAGCUCAAAUAGACAACAAAGCUUGUGGAACUGAUUAAGUGUUAGCAUAAAUAUCUAGCCUUUAUCAUGUUGAGACUCCUCGAUAAUUAUUACUCCCUGUUUUUAUAUUUUUAUUUUAUAAAGCUGAAAAGAAAUAUUUAUUUUAUUUUUAUGCCACCACAGUGAAUGUACUUAUGGGUUUUAUGCCACUCGUAUACUCACAUGGGGCUUACUGUUUUUUUUCAUAUUUUUAUUUUCUUUUUAGGAUAGUACGAACAUAAUUAACUAAGUAAACUAUUUUAAAAUAAUUGAAAGGGAAAGGAUAACUACCAAGUUUACCUCUUGGCAAGGCGUUCGGUGUUUUUAAGUCCUCCGAACGGGACUCUCCAUUUUCUUAAUUGUCCUGAGGUUCGUUGGGUGGCGUAGUCGGUAUUUCCGGCAGCGCCUCCUCUUCAUGUAUAGUUAUCUUCAUUUUCCAUACCUGACUCGGUGCUUCAAUCUCCUCUGGAUAAUUCUGUUUAAACUCUACGUCUUCUGACCUUACAACUUCUCCUUCAUAGUCUGCCCAUCCGUCCUUGAUGAUCUGCCUCCUCUGGUUGCGGUUGCGUCUCUUUCUUACCUGCUUAGAUUCUUCAACGAUAUAGUUAGGGUCAGUAAAGUAACGGCGUACCUUCUCUGAGGGGAAGUGCAUAUGGACUUUUCCGGUUCCAAUGUAGAUAAUUGCUUUAACGGUGCUGAGGAAUGGUCUUCCAAGGAUGAUGGGUGGAUCAUACUCAUCUUCUCCCAUGUCAAUAACUUGAAAGUCUGUGUAGACAAAGUGAUCGUCUAUUUUGACUGGGACAUCAGUUAUUGUUCCUUUAACUUCUCGAAAUGUCUGAUCUGCCAUCUGGAGCUGAAUGUAUGUUGGUCGUAGGGGCAUGGUUCCGAACAAGAGCCGAUAGGUGACUGCGGCCAUUAUGUUGACACGCCGAUCCGGUGUCGCAAAACGUCUUGUAGAAGUUGUAUCCAUUUAUGGAGCAGUAGAUGCUUGGCAUUCCUGGGCCGUCCUUCUUAGUCAAAAGCGGUGACUUAAGUUGUUGAUCUUGGCCUCCAUGAACUACAGUGACCAUCUUAGCUGACUCGGUCCACACUUGCUUGUUCCUGUUCCUCCUGUUGGUCCUCUUCCUUGAUUUACGUCUAGAUUGAUCUGGGAUUUGUGUAGUCUUGUUCUUGAAGAAAAAUGUUUCCUUCUUCCCUUUGACGUAGAAACUGAUCUUGGUAGCACUAGCGUAGAUGAUAGCUCCCGUGGUGUUCAAGAAUGGUCUCCCUAAGAUGAUAGGUGCUCUCUCAUCAUUUCCGGUCUCUACCACUACGAAGUCUGCUGGGGCAUACAAGGUACCAACUCGGACACAAAGGUUCCUCACGAUUCCUUUCGGAAAAGUUAUCGUCUGAUCUGCAAACUGCAAACACAUGGUUGUCUCUAAUAAAGGAUAUGUAAAGAAUUUUUCAUAGAGUACUCUAGGUAUAAUGUUGACACUGGAGCCAAAGUCACAGAGUGCUUCUGGGACAUCCACCAUGCCGAUGGAGAUCGGGAUGACGGGGCGUCCUGGAUCGCCUCUCUUGACCGGCAGAAGGUCAGUAGAGAAUUCCGUGACGGGGUUACUCCAAUUACCUGCAUCAAACAUGUCUACAAGAUUUGCAGAUUCUAAUCCUUCCGGUUGUGAUGGUAUACCGGGGUUAGUAGUAGGAACAGCAGCAGCUAUUUGAUUUAACUGAGAUUCAAUCAUUUUAUUAAAGCUAAUUUGAUUCUUGAUGGCAGUAGAGAAAUUAUCCAUUCUAUUAUUUAUAUUUUCUAGCAUUUUAUCAUUAGAUGCCAAUUUCUUAGAUAGGUUAUCCAUUAGCUUUCCUUGAUUAGACACUAACUCUCUUAAAGGUGGAAAAUUAUUAGUGUUGUUGUAAGAAUUGUUACCUUGAUAAUUACCUGAGUAGUUAGGCCUCUGUUGAUUCCAACCUUGAUUUUGUUG
RNAcentral lists this long non-coding RNA (4206 nucleotides) under Sorghum bicolor (sorghum). RNAcentral describes it as "long non-coding RNA (SBIC_LNC017773)". The record is from RNAcentral. Lineage: Eukaryota; Viridiplantae; Streptophyta; Magnoliopsida; Poales; Poaceae.